GCGGCUGUAGCCAAGUGGUAAGGCAUCAGAUUGUGACUUUGACAUUCGCGGGUUCGAUCCCCGUCAGUCGCCC
RNAcentral lists this transfer RNA (73 nucleotides) under Blidingia minima. Its description in RNAcentral is "tRNA-His". It matches the Rfam family "tRNA". From Rfam's summary of the family: Transfer RNA (tRNA) molecules are approximately 80 nucleotides in length. Their secondary structure includes four short double-helical elements and three loops (D, anti-codon, and T loops). Lineage: Eukaryota; Viridiplantae; Chlorophyta; Ulvophyceae; Ulvales; Ulvaceae. The record is from RNAcentral.